GACAUACUUGCUGCUCUACAUUUUUCCUCUUUGAAUUUCUGUUUUCUAUUGUCGUAUUUUCUAUAUAGACUCUUCAAUGCAGCUUGAGAAUCAACCAACUGCUGCUAGGAAUUUUUGCUUUUGGGUUUUAUACAAACCCUCGUCCCCAUUUUUGAACCUACUGGUGGAGAUGAUUAAGAUGAAAUAAACUUACUGGCCAAAGCAAAAGCCGACUAUUACUCCAAAGUUUCAAAUGCUUUUGCCCAAAGGAUGUUUGGUGGGGGAGCCGGAAUCUCCUUGGAUCUGUAUGUAUAACAUUUUGUACACACAAGAAUAAGUAAGCCCUAAAUACAUCAAGAUUGUUAUGAUUCUUGAAUGUCUGAA
Non-coding RNA from Carica papaya (papaya), 363 nucleotides. Lineage: Eukaryota; Viridiplantae; Streptophyta; Magnoliopsida; Brassicales; Caricaceae. The record is from RefSeq and is a predicted model, not a curated record.